RNAcentral lists this non-coding RNA (136 nucleotides) under Agrobacterium albertimagni AOL15. RNAcentral's name for it is "Bacterial large subunit ribosomal RNA". It matches the Rfam family "Bacterial large subunit ribosomal RNA", at positions 2778 to 2925 of the family's 2925-position model. The record is from Rfam by way of RNAcentral. Lineage: Bacteria; Pseudomonadati; Pseudomonadota; Alphaproteobacteria; Hyphomicrobiales; Rhizobiaceae.
CAUCUAAGCGGGAAACCCACCUGAAAACGAGUAUUCCUAUCAGAGCCGUGGAAGACGACCACGUUGAUAGGACGGGUGUGGAAGUGCAGUAAUGCAUGAAGCUUACCGUUACUAAUAGCUCGAUUGGCUUGAUCGU